This 73-nucleotide transfer RNA is filed under the name Ailuropoda melanoleuca (giant panda). It matches the Rfam family "tRNA". From Rfam's summary of the family: Transfer RNA (tRNA) molecules are approximately 80 nucleotides in length. Their secondary structure includes four short double-helical elements and three loops (D, anti-codon, and T loops). The record is from Rfam by way of RNAcentral. Lineage: Eukaryota; Metazoa; Chordata; Mammalia; Carnivora; Ursidae.
GCCUGGCUGGCUCAGUCAGUAGAGCAUCGGACUCUUGAUUUCUGGGUUGUGAGUUUGAGCCCCAUGCUGGGUA